ACCGGACGAGUCAGCACCUGGAGCGCGGCCCGGCCGCCCGUGCCCCCUUGCCACCUCCCUCUUUGGGGACUUCCUGCUUUUCUUACUUGGCCGCCUUUAAUCCCGUAGCCUUGACCGUGUGGGCAGUGGAAAACAUUUCUUAAGGCAAAGUCUCCCACUUACGACAGUGACUAUUUAAUUAAUUUUAUGAGGACUGCAAGUGAAUUUAACCGGGGAGGCAGGAGUCACGUUGGGAAUGCUAAUGCGGACCGGCGGACCUUCAAAGAGCAGGAACACCAACUGAGAAUUCAAGGCUGUAGUGUGGAACCGAUGCCGGCAGGGGUGGCCUCAGAUCAUAGCCAGCAGCUCAGACCUCAGACAGGGACCACAGCCAGCACCUCAGAGAUUUCAGGAUUCAAGUUCAGAUUGUGCAACAAAAAAAGAAAGUCCUUCCAAGCCCACUAGAGGCACAACAGGCUCUCCUAGGACAUCACUCCUGUUAUCAUUACUCCGUUCCACAGAUGAAGAAACCAAAGGCACAGACGGGCUAAGUACCUUGUCCCAGGACCAAGAUGUCAUAAGCGGUGGAGCAGAGUUCCCAUCCAGAACCAGCUCCUGGCUCCCCUUGGAAGGCUGAGCCCUGCCUUUCAGGGUGGGCUCCUCAGGAGCAUUUUAGAAGCCCAGAUGCUCUGGCCAGACCCUAGACCUACAGAAAGUCUGAUGGGGAACAAGCUCCCCAGGGGCUCCUGUGCAUGUUACAGGCGGAGAAGACCAAUGACGAAACCAUUAUACAACACAUCGCCGGUUUUACAGUAACAGUAAACAUAAACACGCACACAGAAAAAUGUAGCUGGAAUUCUGUGGACUUUUUUUUAGCCAAGCAGCUAAUUGUAGAACCUACACAA
Long non-coding RNA from Chinchilla lanigera (long-tailed chinchilla), 884 nucleotides. RefSeq lists it as uncharacterized. The record is from RefSeq and is a predicted model, not a curated record. NCBI's taxonomy places the organism in Eukaryota, Metazoa, Chordata, Mammalia, Rodentia, Chinchillidae. The transcript is spliced from 3 exons.